CCUACGGGCGGCAGCAGUCGAGAAUCAUUCACAAUGGGGGAAACCCUGAUGGGGCGACGCCGCGUGGGGGAAUGAAGGUCUGCGGAUUGUAAACCCCUGUCAUGUGGGGGCAAAUUAAAAAGAUAGUACCACAAGAGGAAGAGACGGCGAACGCGGUGCCAGCAGCCGCGGUAAGACAGAGGUCUCAAGCGUUGUUCGGAAUCACUGGGCGUAAAGGGUGCGUAGGCUGUUUCGUAAGUCGUGUGUGAAAGGCGCGGGCUCAACCCGCGGACGGCACAUGAUACUGCGAGACUAGAGUACUGGAGGGGGAACCGGACUUCUCGGUGUAGCCGUGAAAUGCGUAGAUAUCGAGAGGAACACUCGUGGCGAAGGCGGGUUCCUGGACAUUAACUGACGCUGAGGCACGAAGGCCCGGGGAGCGACAGGGAUUAGAUACCCUUGUAGUC
This 446-nucleotide ribosomal RNA is filed under the name uncultured bacterium. Its description in RNAcentral is "partial 16S ribosomal RNA". It matches the Rfam family "Bacterial small subunit ribosomal RNA", at positions 338 to 795 of the family's 1533-position model. The record is from RNAcentral.